ACAAGAAUAUGUGGGAGUAGGAAAGGAUAGAAGGAGGAGGGAGCAAAAAAGAAUUAAGAUGUGCUAUGUACAUGUACAAACUCCCCAUGGUAAAUGCAAUUGUUAUGUUCUGCAGACAUGUACUAAUAAAAAAAAAAGAAAUAUAAAUCAUGAGCUAGACCACAUGAGACUCAAAUUCUAGUUGGCAGAAUGGUCAAAAGUUAUAACAUAAACAGGUGGUAAAAAUAAUCAAUGGAUAUCAAACAUUUUAGGUAUUUGAGAAGAAAUAUUGUUUUGUGGGAUAAUCAAGAAAACUACAGAAAGGGUGAAAUUGAGCAGAAAUUUAGGGGAGGUGACCUCUUAUCCCCCAAUCCCUUAUUCCCGACAGAGGAGCCAUUCUAAGACCCCACCAGUGGAUGUCUGAAACUGGGGACAAUACCAAACCUAUACUAUAUCUGUGUUUUUUCCUGUGCAUAAAUACCUGUGAUAAAGUUUAGCUUAUACAUUAGGCACAGUGAAAAACUAAUGAUAAUAACUAACAAUAAAAUAGGACAAUUCUAAAAAUACGCUUGUACUUUAAUAAAACUACCAGCACCAUGACUCUUGCACUUUGGGGACAUCAUUAAAUAAAAUAAGGGUUAUUUGAACGCAGGGACUAUCAUACUAUGGUAAUUGAUCUCUUGACCUGAAUGGCUGCUCAGUGAUUAAUAGGUUGAUAGUGUAUACACCGUGGAAAUGCUGAACAAAAGUGAUGAUUCAUGUUCCAGGAAUGAUGGAGAGGGGUGAUAUAAGAUUUCAUGAUAUUACUCAGAAUGUCUAGUAAUUUAAAGCAUAUUAGUUUUUAUUUCUGGACUCUUUCAUUCAGUAUUUUCAGAACUGAAUUGACUGCAGGUAACUGAAACCAUAGCAGAUAACAGGGACCAGCUGUACGUGAGAAGGAGGGAGAAGGCAACUUCUUGCUUGAGAUUAUUUUUGCCAAGCAGAGUUGUGAGGGCUGCGUGAAGUAAUCCUUCAUUGUGAUUCAUCCAAGGGAGCCUGAAUCAGCACGUGGUCAUUUCCUGUGUGGUGAGUGGGGUGGGGAGGCUGCCUUGAGUGCAACAGUGUCAUCAAAGGGAUGGGUGUGGGGCUUGGGAGUAUUAACUUAGUGAUGGCAUGUAGUAUGAAAUGGAAUAAGGGAGCAUGUGUGUGUUGAGCUAAGGGAAAUAGACAUGAAGACAUGGGGGCUUGAGCUAGCCAUAGUAUAGGCAA
Heterocephalus glaber (naked mole-rat) is the source of this 1227-nucleotide non-coding RNA. The record is from RefSeq and is a predicted model, not a curated record. NCBI's taxonomy places the organism in Eukaryota, Metazoa, Chordata, Mammalia, Rodentia, Bathyergidae.